This 238-nucleotide ribosomal RNA is filed under the name uncultured bacterium. Its description in RNAcentral is "partial 16S ribosomal RNA". It matches the Rfam family "Bacterial small subunit ribosomal RNA", at positions 100 to 334 of the family's 1533-position model. The record is from RNAcentral.
CCGGCACGGGUGGAGUAACGCGUACGCAACUUGCCUAUCAGAGGGGGAUAGCCCGGCGAAAGUCGGACUAAUACCGCAUGAAGCAGGGAUCCCGCAUGGGAAUAUUUGCUAAAGAUUCAUCGCUGAUAGAUAGGCAUGCGUUCCAUUAGGCAGUUGGCGGGGUAACGGCCACCAAACCGACGAUGGAUAGGGGUUCUGAGAGGAAGGUCCCCCACAUUGGUACUGAGACACGGACCAA